UACGGAGGGUGCGAGCGUUAUCCGGAAUUACUGGGUUUAAAGGGUGCGUAGGCGGCUAUGUAAGUCAGAUAGUGAAAGUUUGCGGCUCAACCGUAAAAUUGCUUUUGAUACUGCAUGGCUAGAAUCAGGAUGAGGUCAGCGGAAUGUGGCAUGUAGCGGUGAAAUGCAUAGAUAUGCCAUAGAACACCAAUUGCGAAGGCAGCUGGCUAGACCUGUAUUGACGCUGAGGCACGAAAGCGUGGGGAUCGAACAGG
RNAcentral lists this ribosomal RNA (254 nucleotides) under uncultured bacterium. RNAcentral describes it as "partial 16S ribosomal RNA". It matches the Rfam family "Bacterial small subunit ribosomal RNA", at positions 524 to 776 of the family's 1533-position model. The record is from RNAcentral.